This is a long non-coding RNA of Ctenopharyngodon idella (grass carp), 1244 nucleotides long. RefSeq lists it as uncharacterized. Lineage: Eukaryota; Metazoa; Chordata; Actinopteri; Cypriniformes; Xenocyprididae. The transcript has 3 exons. The record is from RefSeq and is a predicted model, not a curated record.
AUGGACUCCAAUAAUCUACUGGUCAUAAUGAUUUCAGAAGAAUCCAGAGUAAAUCAAAUAUAACAUUUUAUUUGUCAAGUAAAAAUGUAUCAUGCCAAUUACAUUACAGUUAGACAAUUAGAAGCCAAUUCAGAAAUAAUAAAUGCAUAACAUAAAUUACUCAAAGAAAUGCAUGUACACACAGUAAUGUGUGAAUGUCUUCAGACAUUCACCCAUCUCUGCACGGGGGCUUCUGGCUACAGAUGAUCCCGCAUGACUGCUUUGCACUUUACCUUAUAUACAGACUAGAACAAAAGGGUUGUAAAUAUUUAUUACACCAAUACCUGUUUUGGGGGAGAGGAGUGGGUUUUUCAACACCCAAAAGGAGAACAGAAUUAUCCUUAGUUUUCAAUCUUUUUCAUAAUACCAGUGACUGCUGUGAAAUUGAGACCAUUUUACCAAUCGCACUGAGACAUUUAAAAUGAUACCAAACAUGAAAGGAAUAAACAAUAGAUACACCAGAUACAUUAUACUUCUUGGAGAACUUUCAGUGACUUGAGUCAGGGAGCCUUCACCGGAAUAUUGAGUAACCAUCAUUCAGACUACAUUUCCCAUAGGCCCUCAUUCCUGGGACUGAUUGCACUCACACCUGCACCACAUCACACUCACACUAUUUAAGCAGCAUGCGCACACGCGCGCGCACACACACAGAGCGAAGUCUUGAUUUGCCCUGGUAAUCAUUUCUAAGCAGUUUCUGUGGAUCGUUAUACUGUUGCCGUUUGGACUGUUUACCUCUUGUGAUUCUCUGCUGCCUGCCCUGAUCUCUGCCUGCUUCCUGAUACCGUCUGUCUUCCGCCUGCCUCGACCAUUGCCUGUUCCUGUUUACAUCUCUGCCUCUGCCCUUACCUGAAGCGAUUCUUCUGACAGCUGACGCCUACAGUACCUGAGAAUUUUGUCAGACAAGCACAUGAUCAAAAACACCACAAAGGCUGUUGGCACUCCCAAACCUACUUCAACAACAAAAGUGAAACACAACACAACCAAAAAAGGAACCUGCAUCAGCAGAUCAGUCUUCAGCUGCUACACACAGGAGACAGACGUACAGAUCUUUCUUAUUACUUCAGGAGUGCAGGAUAAAAAAGAAGCAAGAAGCAUGGAUUGCAAAAAGUCUCCAACAGAAGGAGGGCAGGCUUUACUUCCACUGCAGGAGGAUCCUCCAGAGUACUCCAGUCAUGGAUUCCCUCCCUCUGAGAUCUAUCCCAGCA